GACGGGGCCCGCACAAGCAGCGGAGCAUGUGGCUUAAUUCGACGCAACGCGAAGAACCUUACCAGGGCUUGACAUGCAGGGAAAAGCGGCGGAAACGUCGUGUCCGCAAGGGCCCUGCACAGGUGGUGCAUGGCUGUCGUCAGCUCGUGUCGUGAGAUGUUGGGUUAAGUCCCGCAACGAGCGCAACCCUCGUCCUAUGUUGCCAGCGGGUCAUGCCGGGGACUCAUGGGAGACUGCCGGGGUCAACUCGGAGGAAGGUGGGGAUGACGUCAAAUCAUCAUGCCCCUUAUGUCUUGGGCUUCACGCAUGCUACAAUGGCCGGUACAAAGGGCUGCGAUACCGCGAGGUGGAGCGAAUCCCAGAAAGCCGGUCUCAGUUCGGAUUGGGGUCUGCAACUCGACCCCAUGAAGUCGGAGUCGCUAGUAAUCGCAGAUCAGCAACGCUGCGGUGAAUACGUUCCCGGGCCUU
RNAcentral lists this ribosomal RNA (468 nucleotides) under uncultured Cellulomonas sp. RNAcentral's name for it is "bacterial SSU rRNA". It matches the Rfam family "Bacterial small subunit ribosomal RNA", at positions 916 to 1381 of the family's 1533-position model. Lineage: Bacteria; Bacillati; Actinomycetota; Actinomycetes; Micrococcales; Cellulomonadaceae. The record is from RNAcentral.